This 303-nucleotide RNase P RNA is filed under the name Yersinia pestis Angola. RNAcentral's name for it is "bacterial RNase P, class A". It matches the Rfam family "Bacterial RNase P class A", at positions 43 to 351 of the family's 367-position model. From Rfam's summary of the family: Ribonuclease P (RNase P) is a ubiquitous endoribonuclease, found in archaea, bacteria and eukarya as well as chloroplasts and mitochondria. Its best characterised activity is the generation of mature 5'-ends of tRNAs by cleaving the 5'-leader elements of precursor-tRNAs. Lineage: Bacteria; Pseudomonadati; Pseudomonadota; Gammaproteobacteria; Enterobacterales; Yersiniaceae. RNAcentral also lists the same sequence under 4 other names. The record is from RNAcentral.
GAGGAAAGUCCGGGCUCCAUAGGGCAGGGUGCCAGGUAACGCCUGGGAGGCGCAAGCCUACGACAAGUGCAACAGAGAGCAAACCGCCGAUGGCCCACGCAAGUGGGAUCAGGUAAGGGUGAAAGGGUGCGGUAAGAGCGCACCGCGCGGCUGGCAACAGUUCGUGGCAUGGUAAACUCCACCCGGAGCAAGGCCAAAUAGGGGUUCGCAUGGUACGGCCCGUACUGAACCCGGGUAGGCUGCUUGAGCCAGUGAGCGAUUGCUGGCCUAGAGGAAUGACUGUCCACGACAGAACCCGGCUUA